RNAcentral lists this ribosomal RNA (204 nucleotides) under Symbiodinium sp. clade D. RNAcentral's name for it is "partial Eukaryotic large subunit ribosomal RNA". It matches the Rfam family "Eukaryotic large subunit ribosomal RNA", at positions 661 to 879 of the family's 3401-position model. The record is from RNAcentral. Lineage: Eukaryota; Dinophyceae; Suessiales; Symbiodiniaceae.
ACGGACCAAGGAGUCUAUUGCGUGUGCAAGUGUAAGGGCUUCACACCUGACAGCUCAACAAAGGUGACUGCUGGGACCUCUGCACCAGCAACCAACUGAUCGCUUAGGAGAUGUUUGUGUAUGAGCACACUUGCUAGGACCCGAAAGGUGGUGAACUAUGCCUGAGAAGGGUGACGUCAGGGGAAACUCUGAUGGAAGCUCGUA